GACCUUUGGGAUGGCCGGGAGACCCUAGAAAUCACCUCAAGUCUCCAGUCCAGGACACAGCUGCCUAGGGGAGUCCCAGGGAAAGGCGGCAGAGAUUGCAUGGCCCGCAAGGUGACUGACUCCAAGGCGACCGCUGCGGAAUCUAGGAGAUUCCAAACCACUGGCAGUUACCAGCGCACAAAGCCCCUGGUGGAGAGGAGGCGAGAGAAGCGAGCUGGGAGGAGGCCCCACUGCUUGGCUACAAAGUGGAUAGAUCAUCUCUUCAGGUCUCCUGGAAGUGGCUGAAACAUGGUGAGGGAGGUCACAUCACUCUCAGGAAGGUGAUAUCACUUACAGGAAGGAAUCAAGAAGCAUUUACAGUGGA
RNA transcript from Arvicanthis niloticus (Nile rat), 364 nucleotides. RefSeq lists it as uncharacterized. The record is from RefSeq and is a predicted model, not a curated record. NCBI's taxonomy places the organism in Eukaryota, Metazoa, Chordata, Mammalia, Rodentia, Muridae.